AUACCUUUCUCGGCCUUUUGGCUAAGAUCAAGUGUAGUAUCUGUUCUUAUCAGUUUAAUAUCUGAUAUGUGAACCAAUGGUUCACACGAUAUUAAAUUAAUAUUUUAUGGGGAAGGCCUAUAACAGUAGCUUGCUACUGAGAUCUUCAGGUGUCGCCCUUGUGUUGCACUAAAACAUAGGCAUGGCACACCCUCC
This 195-nucleotide small nuclear RNA is filed under the name Phaseolus vulgaris (common bean). Its description in RNAcentral is "snRNA U2". It matches the Rfam family "U2 spliceosomal RNA". Rfam says of the family: U2 is a small nuclear RNA (snRNA) component of the spliceosome (involved in pre-mRNA splicing). The record is from Rfam by way of RNAcentral. Lineage: Eukaryota; Viridiplantae; Streptophyta; Magnoliopsida; Fabales; Fabaceae.